RNAcentral lists this ribosomal RNA (237 nucleotides) under Trypanosoma noyesi. RNAcentral describes it as "partial small subunit ribosomal RNA". It matches the Rfam family "Eukaryotic small subunit ribosomal RNA", at positions 395 to 623 of the family's 1831-position model. The record is from RNAcentral. Lineage: Eukaryota; Euglenozoa; Kinetoplastea; Trypanosomatida; Trypanosomatidae.
CNUGAGAAAUAGCUACCACUUCUACGGAGGGCAGCAGGCGCGCAAAUUGCCCAAUGUCAAAAAAAAACGAUGAGGCAGCGAAAAGAAAUAGAGCCGACAGUGCAUUUUGUAUUGUCGUUUUCAAUGGGGGAUAUUUAAACCCAUCCAAAAUCGAGUAACAAUUGGAGGACAAGUCUGGUGCCAGCACCCGCGGUAAUUCCAGCUCCAAAAGCGUAUAUUAAUGCUGUUGCUGUUAAA